UAUCUCAUGUCUUUUAUCAUAGCCCUUUGAGGGGCCUGUCAGAAACCUUGGCAUCAGUCUUAGUAUCUGUACUCUCAGCGUUCCUUGCCCUGGCGCCGAUGCCAUGGAACUUUUAACUCGGCAGCUCAGACAGGUAUCAGAAUGGCAACUCUUUUUCGAAGCAUCCGGUCAGAUGUCUUUUCAGGUCUUGUUCUGAGCUGUAUGGACAGCUGCACCCUGCAAGGUUCUGUUAUGAUGGAUUAGGACUUGUAAGAAUGUGGGGACAGGUAGAGGCUUCUGACCGUAGGAUUCUCGGGCAUCCAUCUUUGCAGUUCUUGGAAUAAAUAAUUCAGUUAGCAUCUUGUUCCUCCAGGGUUCUCUGAACUUCAUCAGCACGCCAUCAGUUUCACCUCAGUCCUCUAAUUUUGCGUCCUCUCGGUGCUCGCUGUCAUUUUCCUUACCCAGAGAUUUCUGUUCCUGUUGUGUCCCCGUUGUUUGUCCUGUCCUGUGUCACGGGUGUCUGCACACAUUUGUGCUGGAGCUGCUCUGCCUUGCUGCAUAGCCUGGUGCAAUAGGAGAAGUCCCGGGGACUUGAUGUUUGUAAUGUGGGGUGUCGUUGGACUCUAGGUGGGAUUUGUAGAUGGGCACAAGAUGUCUGGAGCUCUUAAGUUAUCCUGCAGCUCUUUGAUUUUUGUCCUUUCUUUCAGGUGCAGAAGGAUGAAAUCCAGGGCAGAGCCCCUCAUCCCGGGUGAGGGGAUUCCCCCGAGCAGGAAGUCAAGGCCAAGUGGGCGAGGUGGUCCACUUGCCAUCUAUCCUGGCCGGGCAUGCCCAUUCCAGCUGUGUGCAGCUUAAGGUGCGGUCGCUGCCCUAGGCAUGCCAAGGAACAGAGGAGGGCAGGUAUCUUCUGGGCACCCUCUGGAGUCAAAUCAAGAUUUGAGGUACCCUUAGGAGCCUCGUAGCCAAAGGUUGGAAACGACAGCACCGAGGCACACACGGAGCAUGUUUCAACAUCCACGUCGGACCAAGGAUGGAUUUUGUCUGCUCCUUUUCCAAAAGCUAAGUGUCGGGGCCAGCAGUUGGGAGAAGGGGAAAAACCUUUACUAUCACAGAGGGCAAUUUGAUGUCAGCUUAGCGGAGAGGUCUGUAGUGGGACCAGCUCUCUGGAAGAAAAGGGAGAGGAUUUCUCCUCAGCCUGACCAGAGCCUUUGCCGGGCAGGGCAGUUCCGACCCAUCUCAGGAUUCUCGUGAACUUUGCAUCGUCCGCCUUCCUCGGCCCGACGUCGUCACGGAUCUUUCCCCCGAGGAGCUCGCCUUCACGUCCGGAGCUAUAGCCACGGUCACCUGGCCGUCGGCUUCCUUCUCUAGGCUUGCUGAGCCUCUCGAGCAUCCUCUUAACUGCUGUGGCACUAACUUCUUUUAACGAGUUACAUUUCAUCAUCACGUGCUAUUGUCAUAGGGCUUCCUCUCCUUUGGCAUCAUCAGCCUCUGGCACAUCUUGCGCUAGGCAUCUCGGGUGCCUAAGGGGACAGUGCCAGGCAGUUGCCACUUGUCUCUGUGUUAUGUCACCCGUGUCUGUGUUGUCCGUGUCUGUGUUGUCCGUGUCUGUGUUGUCCGUGUCUGUGUUGUCCGUGUCUGUGUUGUCCGUGUCUGUGUUGUCCGUUGUCUUCCACGUCAUAGGCCUUUGUUACGUCUCAAUGCUUUAUUGGCACUAUUCUGUGCCGUAUAGGCUGUAUUCUACUCACGUUCCUUUCUGGAUAUCCCUUAUUCUGGCAUCUUUACAUUUUUACUCUUUGAGACAGGAAUGUCUCAAACGGACAAGAUGUUCUCAUCCAUCUUCCUUCUCACUACCAGCUUUGGUAGUGCCUUUUUUUCCAUGCCAUUUUCUUGGACUGCUAGAGGGAGUGUCUUGCACCCUCCUCAUGUGACUGCAGUACUUCUAUAGGUUCCAUCUUCUGAAGGGUAUAGGACUCAAGAAUUCAUCUUCCAGCGAGUUAUCUCAAGUCCUGGCUUAUAUUGCGUGUACCUGUGCUGACUUAUACUGUAUGUACCUACCCUCUAUGUACACUUGCACUGUAUGCAUCGACUUACAUUGUUGUGUGUACUUAUAUUGUACCACUUAUGGUUGGAGCUGCCCUGCCCGGGCACGUAGUCACAGUCAGGUAGAAGAGUUAUAAAAACUUUACUGUUCAUCUGUCUUUUAUGGGAUUUUGGGUAGAAAACUUAUUGGUUCAGAGUGGAGACAAGUCCUAGCUGUCAGAUAGCCACUCGUUGACCGCUUCCUGUCGUCUCACAGGUCCCCAAGGCUACCGAUUUCCCCAGAACCUACCAACUGACGUCAAGGAGCGCAGCCAGAAGAUGUGUCGCAGCACGUUCUUCAGCGUCUCGAGUAAGGGCCGCAGCGAGCGUGGUGAGCACAGGGUGAACUCUCUCCUCCUUGCUGUGACACCUGGGCUGGCAGGGAUGACACAGUGACCUCGGCCGGCCGAUGCUGCCUGUGCCAUCACCUGGCACUGACGUGUUUGAUGAAAAUCCUUUUGCUGGGAUUUUUCUCCUGAGAAGCCUCAGAACAGAAAUGGAACCAAUUACGAUCUGCUGGCUGUGGAGUGUGGGCUGGAGAUGGUUUAGCAACAGGGGCAUCUUGGAUUAGUCUCCUGUGCAGUGUCUACUUGAUGACCAAUCAUGGUCCAGCUGCGUCGGGGCUGUGAGCAGUCCCAGGUUUUUAUUAUUCAUUCCUUUCCAGCUUUCUGAUGUCUCCUUGCUCUUUUAGUAUAGUUCUACUAUCUCAUUUUCUUUUAAUAUAAUAGAGAUCAUAAAAUAAUAUUUCAGCCUUCUGA
This is a non-coding RNA of Agelaius phoeniceus (red-winged blackbird), 2813 nucleotides long. NCBI's taxonomy places the organism in Eukaryota, Metazoa, Chordata, Aves, Passeriformes, Icteridae. The record is from RefSeq and is a predicted model, not a curated record.